GAUGAACGCUAGCUACAGGCUUAACACAUGCAAGUCGAGGGGUAACGAGAGGAAAGCUUGCUUUCCUUGUCGACGACCGGCGCACGGGUGAGUAACGCGUAUCCAACCUGCCCCCAACUAAGGAAUAACCUUGAGAAAGUAAGACUAAUACCUUAUAAUUUCCUCAGAUGUCAUCUGACGAGGAAUAAAGAUUUAUCGGUUGUGGAUGGGGAUGCGUCUGAUUAGCUUGUUGGCGGGGGAACGGCCCACCAAGGCAACGAUCAGUAGGGGAUCUGAGAGGGAGGUCCCCCACAUUGGAACUGAGACACGGUCCAAACUCCUACGGGAGGCAGCAGUGAGGAAUAUUGAUCAAUGGGCGGAAGCCUGAACCAGCCAAGUAGCGUGCAGGAUGACGGCCCUAUGGGUUGUGAACUGCUUUUAUACAGGAAUAAAGUUAGCCACGUGUGGUUAUUUGUAGGUACUGUAUGAAUAAGGACCGGCUAAUUCCGUGCCAGCCGCCGCAGUAA
Molecule: ribosomal RNA, 506 nt
Filed under: uncultured bacterium
Lineage: Bacteria
Description: partial 16S ribosomal RNA
Rfam family: Bacterial small subunit ribosomal RNA
Source: RNAcentral